Non-coding RNA from Sesamum indicum (sesame), 381 nucleotides. The record is from RefSeq and is a predicted model, not a curated record. Lineage: Eukaryota; Viridiplantae; Streptophyta; Magnoliopsida; Lamiales; Pedaliaceae.
CGAUAAAUAUAAGCCAGAAUCUGAGAAUCACUCUCACAACACGGCAGAAGAACUGUCUCGCCUCUUUCUUCUCUUCUUUCCUUUUCUUCUAAUUUCAUGCUUCCACUUCCGGGACUAACAACAUCUCUCCCAAUUUCUGAACGAAUGGAUUGAGAUCCAAGAUUCAUACGGCUGAUAACAGAUGAUGAAGUUCCCCCCAAUGAAGGACCAAAUCUGAGGGGAUAGAAAAAAAAUCAAGAUUCCACCGGUGAAAUCCUCAAGCAUGUGGGUGGGUUGACUUGAGUUUCUCAAGAAAUGAAUCGUCAAUUGCUUGGGCAACCCUUGUGGUUUUGGACAUUUCUACUCUUGAAGUCGUGCAUCAAGAUUCCUCCAUUAUUAAGG